Molecule: ribosomal RNA, 494 nt
Filed under: uncultured bacterium
Lineage: Bacteria
Description: partial 16S ribosomal RNA
Rfam family: Bacterial small subunit ribosomal RNA
Source: RNAcentral
GACGAACGCUGGCGGCGUGCUUAACACAUGCAAGUCGAACGGUGAAGCGCCUUCCUUUUUGGUGGGUGUGGAUGAGUGGCGAACGGGUGAGUAACACGUGAGUAACCUGCCCCCUUCUUCUGGAUAACCGCAUGAAAGUGUGGCUAAUACGGGAUAUUCUGGGUCUGUCGCAUGAUGGGUCUGGGAAAGAUAUUGUUUCGGUGGGGGAUGGGCUCGCGGCCUAUCAGCUUGUUGGUGGGGUGAUGGCCUACCAAGGCGGUGACGGGUAGCCGGCCUGAGAGGGUGGACGAGCACACUGGGACUGAGACACGGCCCAGACUCCUACGGGAGGCAGCAGUGGGGAAUAGUGCACAAUGGGCGCAAGCCUGAUGCAGCGACGCCGCGUGAGGGAUGGAGGCCUUCGGGUUGUGAACCUCUUUCGCCAGUGAAGCAGGCCUGCCUCGUUUGUGGGUGGGUUGACGGUAGCUGGAGAAGAAGCGCCGGCUAACUACGUG